UGAGGGAUAUUGGUCAAUGGGCGCAAGCCUGAACUAGCGACGCCGCGUGGGUGAAGAAGGUCUUCGGAUCGUAAAGCCCUUUUCCCACUGAAGAGGAAGGACGGUAGGUGGGGAAGAAGUCUCGGCUAACUACGUGCCAGCAGCCGCGGUAAAACGUAGGAGACAAGCGUUAUCCGGAGUUACUGGGCGUAAAGGGCGUGCAGGUGGCGUCUUAAGUCUGUUGUGAAAGCGCCUGGCUUAACCGGGCGAGGCCAAUGGAGACUGAGAGGCUGGAGGACGGCGGAGGGGUGUGGAAUUCCGGGUGUAGUGGUGAAAUGCGUAGAGAUCCGGAGGAACACCAGAGGCGAAGGCGGCACUCUAAGCCGUACCUGACACUGAGACGCGACAGCACGGGGAGCAAACG
Molecule: ribosomal RNA, 403 nt
Filed under: uncultured bacterium
Lineage: Bacteria
Description: bacterial SSU rRNA
Rfam family: Bacterial small subunit ribosomal RNA
Source: RNAcentral